Molecule: transfer RNA, 69 nt
Filed under: Coloceras sp. SLC-2011
Lineage: Eukaryota; Metazoa; Arthropoda; Insecta; Psocodea; Philopteridae
Description: tRNA-Pro
Source: RNAcentral
CAGAAAAUAGUUUUAUUAAAAAUGUUGGUUUUGGAGACCGAAGAUUUAGUUUUAUUAUUAAUUUUCUGA